Molecule: long non-coding RNA, 642 nt
Filed under: Mytilus galloprovincialis (Mediterranean mussel)
Lineage: Eukaryota; Metazoa; Mollusca; Bivalvia; Mytilida; Mytilidae
Source: RNAcentral
GUUUUAUUAGGUCUUUCCACUUUUCUGUGGAAAGACCUAUUGUUUUUCUUCUGAUUAUUUUUUUUUUCUUCCGCCAAAUUUUGUUCUUGCGAUAAACAUUUGUUUCGCAAUAUGUCGCUUAGAUAUUUGGUAUAUGAUAUCGAACAGUUUAUGCGCUUUUGAAAUUUACCCUGCGUAACCGAAUACUUUUCUUUGUAGGAGUUAUCUCCCCAAACACUGUUUUCCUUGUUAGCGCAUCUCCUUCGCAACCGUAAAAGAUUACGACAAAUUUAUUUUAUAAAAUUGCUUGUUAUAUCCUUCGCAUGAUUUGUCCAAUUUCGACCGAAGCAAUAUGAACGCUCCAUAUGAGAGUUAUUUCCCUUUUUAUAUUUGAAAUUUUGAAAUGUAUUUUAAACUGGAACACCAUAAGUGAUAGAGACCUAGGAUCUUUUGAUGUGAGGUCCUUGGUCCAAAAAAAUGAAAAUUAGGUCAAGGUCAAAGGUCAAGGUCAUAUUCUAAUUUUUGAAUUUGUCUUAUUUUCACUCAUUUUCAUUAACCUUAUAAGAUAUCGACAAAUUAUUUUUACUAAAUUGUUAGUUGCGACAUGUCGUAACAUAAUAAUUUUGGUUGAAAGGGUGCGUAGACAAUAAAUGGGAGUUUUAG